AGUGAACGCUGGCGGUAGGCCUAACACAUGCAAGUCGAACGGCAGCACAGUAAGAGCUUGCUCUUACGGGUGGCGAGUGGCGGACGGGUGAGGAAUACAUCGGAAUCUACUUUUUCGUGGGGGAUAACGUAGGGAAACUUACGCUAAUACCGCAUACGACCUACGGGUGAAAGCAGGGGAUCUUCGGACCUUGCGCGAUUGAAUGAGCCGAUGUCGGAUUAGCUAGUUGGCGGGGUAAAGGCCCACCAAGGCGACGAGCCGUAGCUGGUCUGAGAGGAUGAUCAGCCACACUGGAACGGAGACACGGUCCAGACUCCUACGGGAGGCAGCAGUGGGGAAUAUUGGACAAUGGGCGCAAGCCUGAUCCAGCCAUACCGCGUGGGUGAAGAAGGCCUUCGGGUUGUAAAGCCCUUUUGUUGGGAAAGAAAAGCAGCAGGUUAAUACCCCGCUGUUCUGACGGUACCCAAAGAAUAAGCACCGGCUAACUUCGUG
Molecule: ribosomal RNA, 492 nt
Filed under: uncultured bacterium
Lineage: Bacteria
Description: partial 16S ribosomal RNA
Rfam family: Bacterial small subunit ribosomal RNA
Source: RNAcentral